RNAcentral lists this long non-coding RNA (761 nucleotides) under Pogonomyrmex barbatus (red harvester ant). RNAcentral's name for it is "uncharacterized LOC105422037, transcript variant X2". The record is from RNAcentral. Lineage: Eukaryota; Metazoa; Arthropoda; Insecta; Hymenoptera; Formicidae.
GAAAAAAAACGGAGCUAGAGACGAACGCGGUUAUUAAAAGACAGUUUGCCGCCUGCAUGUAUGCGAGCACGCAGAGUCUUAAGUCUUCAUUUCAACCUUGUGGACCUUGCUGGCAGCACCGACUAUUUUUAUCAUCUAGUCUCAAACUCUCGCAAUACGCGAGCGAGUAAUCUAUCUAUCUUGAGCGGCGUGAAACACGAUUGAAUUAUAGUACUUACAAGCAAGGUCGAUACAUUUACCAAAGGUCGACUUUUGUUCCAUGAAUUUAUAUCAAGGAUCUCUUUCAUCUAUAAAUAAGUUUAUUUAACGAUCGAUGGUGGACCUUUUUAAACUUUUUCAAGCCAAUUUACCGAAUUGGCGGAAUAUCACGAUAUUGCCCGUUGUACGUGUAAUAUGAAGAAUAUUACAAGCUAGUGCUAUGCAACAGUUAGAUCAAUGGACAUUGAACACACUGCUCUAACUGGCUUGAUGCUGCUCGGGUACCCUCGAUAAAAAUGCACGAUCGUGAUACGAAUAAUCACAACGUUUUCAAAUACAGCUGUAGUCCGAUCGCGUUUCUGAUGCUAAAUGGGUAAUAUCCGAGCGUUUCCUUGAAUGAAUUCAUAUCCAGCGAUCGAACCGAUUUGCAAUUAUAAUCAAACUCAUACAUUUUGAUUCUCAGCUAGUGAAUUAUAAGAUGCAAUGGUAUUGAUACUAUAGCAAGAAUAAAUAUAAUUGCGAUUAAAGUCUUGUACACAUUUAUUCAACAAUGAAAAAAAAAA